UCUUCAAUCCCUACAUUCAAAGAGCGCUCAAACCACAUAUAAACUACAUACACAAACUUGACCAUAUUUUGGAGAGGGGCAUGUGCACGCCCUGCUCAUUCCACUUUCAUACCCCUGUGCACAUAUAGUAGGCUAUGGUCGGAUGGCUGACUUCACGGUCGGUUGGAAAGCCUUGUCCUAUGUCUUCACACAAACGCUUCAGUUUAAAGAAUGUCUUGCUGCGCUUGGCGCAAUAAAAAUAUACAACUUUCAGCAACGGAUCUCUUGGCUCUCGCAUCGAUGAAGAACGCAGCGAAAUGCGAUAAGUAAUGUGAAUUGCAGAAUUCAGUGAAUCAUCGAAUCUUUGAACGCACCUUGCGCUCCUUGGUAUUCCGAGGAGCAUGCCUGUUUGAGUGUCAUGGAACUCUCAACCUUCAACGCUUUUGCGAGUGACGAAGGCUUGGACUUGGAGGUUGUGUUGGCGCAAGUCAACUCCUCUGAAAUGCAUUAGUGUGAACCUCACGGAUCGCCUUCAGCGUGAUAAUUAUCUGCGCUGUGGACGUUGAAGUGUUUUCGUGUUCGUGCUUCUAACUGUCCGCGAGGACAAGCAAAACAUUUGACAAUCUGACCUCAAAUCAGGUAGGACUACC
RNAcentral lists this ribosomal RNA (629 nucleotides) under Hydnophanerochaete odontoidea. Its description in RNAcentral is "eukaryotic LSU rRNA". The stretch from base 245 to 398 matches the Rfam family "5.8S ribosomal RNA". The record is from RNAcentral. Lineage: Eukaryota; Fungi; Basidiomycota; Agaricomycetes; Polyporales; Meruliaceae.